AUGAACGCUGGCGGCGUGCCUAAUACCUGCAAGUCGAGCGAACGGACGAGAAGCUUGCUUCUCUGAUGUUAGCGGCGGACGGGUGAGUAACACGUGGAUAACCUACCUAUAAGACUGGGAUAACUUCGGGAAACCGGAGCUAAUACCGGAUAAUAUUUUGAACCGCAUGGUUCAAAAGUGAAAGACGGUCUUGCUGUCACUUAUAGAUGGAUCCGCGCUGCAUUAGCUAGUUGGUAAGGUAACGGCUUACCAAGGCAACGAUGCAUAGCCGACCUGAGAGGGUGAUCGGCCACACUGGAACUGAGACACGGUCCAGACUCCUACGGGAGGCAGCAGUAGGGAAUCUUCUGCAAUGGGCGAAAGCCUGACGGAGCAACGCCGCGUGAGUGAUGAAGGUCUUCGGAUCGUAAAACUCUGUUAUUAGGGAAGAACAUAUGUGUAAGUAACUGUGCACAUCUUGACGGUACCUAAUCAGAGAGCCACGGCUAACUACGUG
RNAcentral lists this ribosomal RNA (496 nucleotides) under uncultured bacterium. Its description in RNAcentral is "partial 16S ribosomal RNA". It matches the Rfam family "Bacterial small subunit ribosomal RNA", at positions 29 to 507 of the family's 1533-position model. The record is from RNAcentral.